CUUGAUGUGUAGGAUAGGUGGGAGGCUUUGAAGCGUGGACGCCAGUCUGCGUGGAGCCGACCUUGAAAUACCACCCUUUAAUGUUUGAUGUUCUAACGUGGAUCCGUAAUCCGGGUUGCGGACAGUGUCUGGUGGGUAGUUUGACUGGGGCGGUCUCCUCCUAAAGAGUAACGGAGGAGCACGAAGGUUGGCUAAUCCUGGUCGGACAUCAGGAGGUUAGUGCAAUGGCAUAAGCCAGCUUGACUGCGAGCGUGACGGCGCGAGCAGGUGCGAAAGCAGGUCAUAGUGAUCCGGUGGUUCUGAAUGGAAGGGCCAUCGCUCAACGGAUAAAAGGUACUCCGGGGAUAACAGGCUGAUACCGCCCAAGAGUUCAUAUCGACGGCGGUGUUUGGCACCUCGAUGUCGGCUCAUCACAUCCUGGGGCUGAAGUAGGUCCCAAGGGUAUGGCUGUUCGCCAUUUAAAGUGGUACGCGAGCUGGGUUUAGAACGUCGUGAGACAGUUCGGUCCCUAUCUGCCGUGGGCGCUGGAGAACUGAGGGGGGCUGCUCCUAGUACGAGAGGACCGGAGUGGACGCAUCACUGGUGUUCGGGUUGUCAUGCCAAUGGCACUGCCCGGUAGCUAAAUGCGGAAGAGAUAAGUGCUGAAAGCAUCUAAGCACGAAACUUGCCCCGAGAUGAGUUCUCCCUGAGACUUA
This 695-nucleotide ribosomal RNA is filed under the name Salmonella enterica subsp. enterica serovar Infantis. Its description in RNAcentral is "partial 23S ribosomal RNA". It matches the Rfam family "Bacterial large subunit ribosomal RNA", at positions 2130 to 2824 of the family's 2925-position model. Lineage: Bacteria; Pseudomonadati; Pseudomonadota; Gammaproteobacteria; Enterobacterales; Enterobacteriaceae. The record is from RNAcentral.